UUUGGGUUGAAAAUGGGGAUUUUUUUGGGAUGAAAAUCAGAAUUUUUUGGGUCAAAAAUCGGAACUUUUUGGGGUGAAAAAAGAGAAUUUUUUUUGACGAAAAUCAGGAUUUUUUGGGACGAAAAUCAGAUUUUUUUGGGUUGAAAAUCAGAAUUUUUUGGGGACAAAAAUCAGAAUUUUUUGUGUCGAAAAUCGGGAUUUUUUGGGGUGAAAAUGGGGAUUUUUUUGGGGUGAAAAAAGGGAUUUGGGGUCUCAGUGCACCAUGUACUCCUUGCGCUUGUGCAGGCGGCUCUGGCACAGGGAGAAGGGGAAUUUCUGGCUGAAAAUCAGGAAUUUUUGG
Molecule: long non-coding RNA, 340 nt
Organism: Oenanthe melanoleuca
Lineage: Eukaryota; Metazoa; Chordata; Aves; Passeriformes; Muscicapidae
Exons: 2
Source: RefSeq, a predicted model, not a curated record